Molecule: ribosomal RNA, 235 nt
Filed under: uncultured bacterium
Lineage: Bacteria
Description: partial 16S ribosomal RNA
Rfam family: Bacterial small subunit ribosomal RNA
Source: RNAcentral
CCCUACGGGACGCAGCAGUAGGGAAUCUUCGGCAAUGGGGGCAACCCUGACCGAGCAACGCCGCGUGAGUGAAGAAGGUUCUCGGAUCGUAAAGCUCUGUUGUAAGAGAAGAACGUGUGUGAGAGUGGAAAGUUCACACAGUGACGGUAACUUACCAGAAAGGGACGGCUAACUACGUGCCAGCAGCCGCGGUAAUACGUAGGUAGCGAGCGUUGUCCGGAAUUACUGGGUGUAA